This 3472-nucleotide long non-coding RNA is filed under the name Salmo salar (Atlantic salmon). RNAcentral's name for it is "lncRNA (ENSSSAG00000085690.1)". The record is from RNAcentral. Lineage: Eukaryota; Metazoa; Chordata; Actinopteri; Salmoniformes; Salmonidae.
GUGCUCUCGUACAGUUGUGGAAUAAGUGAUUUUAAAAGGGUUUUCCUGCUUGGAAUUGUGUACAUUGGAUUUAGACUAUUGUGAUAAUUUCUAAAACCGCUGUCCUCCACGAUCGAAAAUGGCUGGAAAUCGGUGCCAAUCAUUUUAGCCAAUGCAAUAUCAAUUUGGCCUUGUUUUGCUGCAUAGACGUUGGCAUAAACUGGUCCAUUGAAGACUGCGUUGCUGUGGGUCGCGGUGUAGGCCUACUUGACUGAGUGGAUACAUCUCCACGUGUGGAGGUGGUGGCUCCACCACUAUCACUAGCAGGCCCGCUAGCUUCUUGAAGCUUCGCUACAGCUAGCUUCACAGUUGGGUGCACAGUUCGCAUAUGCCGGUGUAGGUUGUGCGUAGAACCGGCUUUAUAUGAGAUUUUGUUUUGGCAAAUUGUACACUGUGCUCUAACAAAUGCAUCCAAAUGCUACUGUGCUUCCAACUCAUUUUCCAGCUGUUGUUUUCACAGCUGUCCUUCCUCUCUCUCCUCGGCUGCUAAGUGUGUGACUGUGACAGUUGGCUCAGCCCUUCCUCGCGGUUCAUUGGUUGACAUUGCGUGUCUGAUUGACAGGAACAACAGGUAAAGCUGUUAAGUCUGAGCAGACAGUCAGAACGAAUGUGUGCACUUGAGUAUGUAGGCCUAUAUUCUUUUAUUUCUUUUUUCGUUCUUUGAAUUAGUUAAUUCUAUUCAUUUAAAAUCUUUUGAUUAUUCAUAUCUUCAUUUUUUUGUAAAUAGAUUAGGCUCUUCUGAUAUGCGAGCCGGCUCUUAGAGCCAACUUGUUCGUGAACGACCCAUCACUACUUGUCAGCCAUACUAGCCUCGAAGUCGCUCAUUUUAUCAUUACCCCCAGUAUAUUAAUAUAAUCAUAUUUCUAUAGAUUUUUGUAAUUCGAUUGGGUUCUGUCUUUUGUCUAUUUAGCUAGCAAACGUUACCUACCAGUACCUAGCUAACGUUAGUGCUAAGGACGUUAACAUUAUUAGUUGGUGCGGCAUCUUUAUUGAAAGUUAGGAAUUUAAGAAGAUUUCAUUGAACCUUAGUGGGCUUCGACGUCUAAAAAAGGGAGCAGUACCUUUGCUAUUCCAGUGGAAUAUUACCAUGUCCAAGAGAUCCUCAUGUCACUGAUGGGAAGCAUCAACUGCAUCUGGGCUGUGGCUUGCCUUCUCACAAAACUACCAGUUUAGGCCUCUUGUGAAGGCAUGGGCCAAGGAGCAAUGAGCUACUACUGCAAUGCAUCUUUCCUUUUUUUGCUGUGACCAUCCACAUUGUCUAACACCAGUAGUCCCUUUAUUGAUAAUAAACACCUCUGCUUAUACUCCAAACAAAAUGUUAUAAAGAGUUUUUAUUUACAGUGAUGAGAACAGAAACAUUUUACUGAAUUAUUUUAAAUUAUUAAUGAAUUGCACAGACAGAUGUUGAUUUGUUUCCCUUUCAUUAAUUGAAAGAUAAAGGAGCCUGUCCCUUGUUAUUUAGUCUUUCCUGCCUAAGAACUUUUGCAUGUACACAUAAGUAGUACCAGUCACCCUUCUCUCUAAUUAGUGAGAACACCGCUGGGUCUCUAUGUAUUCUCUCACCUGAAGAGACUAUGUGAAGCUGGUCUUCUUCAUUGAGCACAAGUGCAGCCUUGAAAGUUGCUCUCCAGUCUGUAGCCAUCCAGGGGCAGUAAAGGGAAUGGUGGUGUCUCCUUAUAGUGAACUAUGGUCACAUUGUGAUUGGAGGCUGCUGGUAAGACAGGAGGCUCUCCAACUAUACCCUUCCAAAGUGGGAGUCACCUAAAAGCUUUUCAGCCUUCAUCCCCAUGCUGCAGAUCAAUGGUUUGGAUAGAGGGUCAAAGUUCUUGUAUGCCUCUUCUAUCUGGAGAACUGAGAGGUCAGGGAGCGUUCCAAAAAGGGCGCUGUACUUCCGCAAAGCAGCCGCUGUGGUUAGCCAAUCUAAACAAUGUACUUGAAACCACCUGAAAUUAAAUAAUUUUAUAUAGUCAAAGUUUAAUAGGAUAUGACCAGCUACUACCUAUUAUACUGGCUAUUAGGGAAUACUCACCUAAUCCCUCCUUCUGCCAUGCGCUUUUUGGUGGCCUUGGUGAUGGUCAUUUUGCCUAUGGGCCCAGGUUGCAGACCCUGUAAAAAAUAAAGUACAAGGGCACUAUUCUAAAUCUAAUCAUGAGACGAUUUAAGUUUUCAUGAAAUAGUUUAUUAGCAUUGUGAUGGGAUUAUAACCAUAUGAUUUUGAUAUGUGGUAUAGCUAUUAAAACAUACCAUAGUCCUUGGCUUAUGCCACUGCUGCUCGGCCUCUGUGCAGCUGUGCACAGAUGGGAUGACUGGUGUUCCCAUCUUAGUGUGCAGACUGGAAUAGUAAUGCAACUGUGUGGUGAUGUGUCAUUGUUACUGGCUCAGAGGGCUUCAGUACAACCCACGCGGAGAUAUAAAAAGAAAAUGAUUAGACUAAAAAUCACUCAACGCAAACAGAAAUGACUGCCGCAACAUGCAACUAAAUUCAUUACAGCAAUACGGAUGUAAACUUUUCUAUUAACGGUAUAUGUCCUUGUUUAAUUGUAAUCUAAUGCGUCCAACAUAACAGAGCUCACAUAAACAGCAAGGAAAACAACUGAACAAUUACUACACUAAGAACGGUUUGAUAGACAUGGGUUAAGCCUAUUCAUAGACUAAGCAAUGCCUCUUAAUGCAGAUCUCCAUUGACAGGAACUCCUUAGUCUAAGACUAGGCUUCAUCUCUGACUGUGUAACCUGCAUAUAGUGUGUCACAAACACCUGCCUUUUCACCCUACACUCAAACUGUGUGGUUUCUAAUUUUUCCUCAUGGACCUAUAGCAGCAAGCCCUUAUGCUGACCUCUCCUGUCACGUUGGCCCUGUUCGAAGCUGUUUUGGAAUAAAAAGAAAGAGCAAUCAUAUUAGCUAGCUACUGUAAAAGGCAUGUCUUAAACUACGUUACAGCUUUGAGUAAACGUCCUUGUCUGAUCUGAUAGGCAACUUGGCUAUACUUACCUUCGUAGUUGAAAAGGUAACUGGACACAAAGUUUGAAUCCUUGUUUUUAACUUGGAGUUCGGUGCUUUGCUACUUAUCUUGGCCAGACGAUGUACAUCCGUCAAUGUGAUCUUUGGUAGCUUUUACGAGCGUCCUGAGUAAAGCAGUGCCAUGAUUGGUAGGGGAGGGAGGCGUUGGCUAAUUGCGAGUCACCUUACUAGUUAGAAUGUUAAUAGCUAGCUAGCGAAGAGACCAAAAAAGACACAGAACAAAAUAAUCGAAUUACAAAAAUCCCUAACUGAAGGGAUAAACAUAAUUUUCAACAAGAAUUAUAACAAUAAAAAAACGCUAUAAAAAUAUGAUUAUAUUAAUAUACUGAGAUAAUAAAACGAGGGACUUCGAAGCUGCUAUGGCUACAAUCAGGCUGACAGGACGUGAUCGGGACAGGAAGCUAUGUAUCGG